This is a long non-coding RNA of Olea europaea var. sylvestris, 1150 nucleotides long. RefSeq lists it as uncharacterized. The transcript is spliced from 2 exons. Lineage: Eukaryota; Viridiplantae; Streptophyta; Magnoliopsida; Lamiales; Oleaceae. The record is from RefSeq and is a predicted model, not a curated record.
GAUGGGUCAUUCCAAAGGACAGGCUUCAGUCUUGGUUUUUCAACUUAUGGGUUCUUCUUGAGAUCUCUCUCUGGUUCUUCGUGAUAACUUUCUUCUUCUAUUUUGAUUUCUGUUUCUUGUGAUCUCACAUGAGAUCUUAGUCGAUUUGAAAGAACCUUGUGAAAUACAUCUUGCUACAGUAUUUUUGGUCGAUUGUAAGGCCCGUGAUGUGUUGGUUAGGCAGUAAGGUACUUUGUUUACCGGUGAUUAAGGUGUGAUUUGUGAGAUCCUUUUGGAUCAAAUAUUAGAUCUGGUGUCCGAUUAUGGUUUUAGUGUAUUCUCUCUAUAUCUUGGAAGGUUAUUUUUGCACAUGGUGAAGAGGCUAGUCUCUGAGUCCCUCAGAUUAGGGGUUUUCACUGAUCUGGGUUGAUUUCUCUUGCAAGUACUUUGGGCAAUGAUAUAGGGCCAAGUCCGUUUUAUGUGCAAUCUAGCAUACUAGAGACAGUAGAUAAUUUGAGAACCAAGGUGAAGAUUGUAAAAAACGUGUUUCUCAAAUCAAUACUUUAGUAAGGGCAAAAACAUCAUUUGGAUGUGGAAGGCCCAAGUGGCAACCCCCAAUUGGCUGUUGGUGCUUCACUCGAGUUGUGCUUCUUCAAACGUUAUCCUGGUCGUCCAUUUUUUGAUCACUGGUUGAGAACUAAUAUGAUACAAUUGGUUUGGCAUUUGAGGGGUCAUUUCAAAGGAUGGGAUGCAGUCUUGGUUUUCCAAGUUUUGGGGUUCUUCUAGAGACCUUGAUUCUUCUUCUAUUUUUGGUUUCUGUUUCUUAUGAUUUCACAUUAGAUCUUAAUCGAUCUGAAAGAACCCUGUGAAAUACAUCUUGCUAUAUUAAUUUUGGCCGACUGUAAGGCUUGUGAUGUGUAUAUUUUGGUUUGGCAGUAGGGUUCUUGGUUUAUUGGUGAUUAAGGUGUGAUUUGUAAGAUCCUUUUGGUUCAAGGAUAAGAUCUAGUGUCUAAUUUUGGUCUCAGUGUAAUCUCUGUCUCUUGGAAGGUUAUUUUGCACAUAGUGAACAUGUUAGUCUAUUAGCUCCCUAGAUUAGGCUUUUUCACGGAACUGGGUGAACAAUGGUUUGUGUUUUUACUGCUUUUGUGCGUGAUUGAUUGGUUAUUUCUCA